AUGCAGCUGGGGCCCGGAGCAAGACUUUCUGUAACUUGCAGCUCUCUCUUCCCUGAGCAACCCAUCGCCACCUCUGAGCCUGUGCCCCGAGGGACCCAUGCAGGUGGCCGGCCUUCUGCACACCUGGGGCAUCUGGGGACGUGGGCGAUCCCUGAGGUCCUGCGCCUAGGGCCCUGCUUCCAUCGCAGGUCCCGGCUGCCCACGCCAGGGACCGAGGGAAGGAGAAGCGGGUCUGCGCAGCAGGCGGCUGAGCCCGGGCCCGCCCACUCGGAGCCGAGGCCGGAGCAGCGCGUCGGGAGCCUCCGGGGCGGGGACCCUGGCUGUGAGCGGGAAAUGGAGCGCUCGUGCUGGAGUGGAAGAGACCAGCUGGAACAACUCUGCUCAGAGGGCUGCCGAUGGACCUCCCAGUACAGGUACCGGCGGCCGCGCAGCGCACACACCCCUGUGUGCGCGCCCUUCCUGCCGGCCCGGCCCGCGGUGCGUCGGCCUCGCCCGCUCUCCACGCCCGGCCCUGGGCGCCUUUCCUGGCGGGCUCCGCUCCGUGCGUGCGGGGCUCUGCGCGCGGGGGACAAGGACGCCUCCUGGACGCCUCGUCGCUGCCUCUGAACCGGCGGCCCCCGCCUUCCCCAGCACUGGGCUCCUCCCUCCCCGCCGCAUCUGAGCGUCCAGGGCUGGGCCGUCCCUCCCUGGGCGCGUUCCUGGGCUCUGUGAUCCAUCGGGGUGUAAGGGAGAGCCUGCCACCCG
This 744-nucleotide long non-coding RNA is filed under the name Chinchilla lanigera (long-tailed chinchilla). Its description in RNAcentral is "lncRNA (ENSCLAG00000025322.1)". Lineage: Eukaryota; Metazoa; Chordata; Mammalia; Rodentia; Chinchillidae. The record is from RNAcentral.